AAAAGAGUGCAUCUCCAUGCUUUUCAAAGACCAGCGCCCGAAUAUGUAGAUGCAGACACAGUGGGAGAGAAGAACUGACCGCAUUUAACAUGGUAAGUGUGAAAGAAGCGGUUAGUGGAAAUGAACA
Molecule: non-coding RNA, 127 nt
Organism: Caenorhabditis elegans
Lineage: Eukaryota; Metazoa; Nematoda; Chromadorea; Rhabditida; Rhabditidae
Source: Ensembl